Molecule: long non-coding RNA, 385 nt
Filed under: Cottoperca gobio
Lineage: Eukaryota; Metazoa; Chordata; Actinopteri; Perciformes; Bovichtidae
Description: lncRNA (ENSCGOG00000022755.1)
Source: RNAcentral
CUGCUGUACAAGCUGUCACUGCCGGAGACACAGGAGUGUUACAACAGAAGUCAGUCAUGCUCACCUGUCCAGCAGGCUUCCUGCUGCUCUGCACACCUGUUCCCAAUCAUCUCAUCAGCCUGUGACCUGUUCCCGUGCCGGCCUCCCCAGCUGCACCUCAUCAGCUAACGAGUCUCCCAGCACUCAGCUGCUCCUUCAGCAACACACAGAAACUGUUCCAGCUGACAGCGUGGAGGGAGCUGUGGACCUGGUGAACUGUGACAGAGAACUGAACUGACCCUCGUCUUUCAGAAACACAACAGCUCCAUUAUGCUAAAGCUACAUCAGGUUGUUGUUGUCGUCCACACCUCCCUUCUUUACUUAUCCUCAUGUUCAAGUGUAGGAA